AUGCUGAAGGCGACGACGAUGCCCGCCAAGUUCUGGGGGGAAGCGGUGACCACGACUGUCUUCCUCCUCAACCGCGCACCUACGAAGAGCGUGCACAGCAUGACACCGUACGAGGCCUGGCAUGGAGUGCGCCCUGCGGUGCACUUGCUUCACACUUUUGGGUGUGUGGCACAUGUCAAGAAUGUGCGCCCGCACUUGAAGAAGCUCGACGACAGAUCGACGCCGAUGGUGUUCAUCGGCUACGAGGAAGGCGGCAAGGCGUAUCGCCUCUUUGAUCCGGUGGGUGGGCGCUUCCAUGUGACGCGCGACGCCGUCUUCGACGAGGGAGCACACUGGAACUGGGAUGCGGAGGAGCGUGCGGCAGGCGCCAACGCAUUCACCGUCAACUACGAGGUGCGUCGUGUACCUGCAAUGGCGGGGAGGAUCGUGCCUAACACACCGCCACGCCAGUUCUCUGGUGCGGCCGGAGCGACGCCCGAGCCAGAGAGCGCAGCCGUAUCGACGGCGGGCGGCGCGUCAGAAGCAGCGGCGGCAGCUUCCCCAACACGCACCGCGCCCGCGAUGCCCAGCUCAGCGGCAACGGCAGCAUCUCCAACACAUACCGAGCCCGUAACGCCCAGCUCAGCAACAACUUCAGCAUCUCCGGCGAGCAGUCCACGGAUCGCCUACGUCACGCCACCAACACCAUGCUCGGAGAUGCAUGAUGCAGCCGUGGACGCCCACGGUCCUCUUCGCUUCCGGCGUUUGUCGGACCUGUUCGACACAGACCUGGAUGAGGAGGAGGAGCCGUCCUCGUUUUCUGAAGCAGAGCAGGAGCCGAGCUGGAGAAAGGCCAUGAUCGAGGAAAUAGGCUCGAUUGAGGAUAAUCAAACCUGGGAGCUCACUGAUCUUCCCCUAGGUCACAUUUCCAUUGGACUAAAAUGGGUGUUUAAGGUCAAGCGCGACGAGGACGGCGUGGUGACCAAGUACAAAGCGCGGCUGGUGGCAAAAGGUUUCGUCCAGCAGGAAGGCAUAGACUUCGACGAGGUAUUCGUGCCGGUCGCUCGCAUGGACUCGGUACGUUUGAUGCUCGCACUCGCCGCGCAGGAAGGCUGGCGCGUCCAUCACAUGGAUGUGAAGUCUGCCUUCCUCAACGGCGACUUGGCGGAGGAGGUGUACGUCCGGCAGCCGCCGGGCUUUGUCAUUGCAGGAGAGGAGCACAAGGUGCUGAAAUUGAGGAAGGCACUCUAUGGCCUACGACAAGCACCGCGGGAUUGGAAUGCCAAGCUGGACGCCACACUCGCUGCUCUGGGCUUUGUCAGGAGCAGCUCAGAGCACGCGGUCUACGUCCGGCGCGGGCUCUUGGUGGGCGUGUACGUCGACGACCUCCUCAUCACCGGACCAAGCGACGACGACAUCCGCAACUUCAAGGGGGAGAUGAUGGCCAAGUUUCACAUGAGCGACCUGGGCCUACUCACCUACUACCUCGGCAUCGAGGUGCACCAGAGCGCGCACGGGGUCAUGCUCGGCCAAGCUGCGUACGCGCGCAAGAUCCAGGCGGACAUGCUGGACUACAACCCCUGCCACGCACCUAUGGAGUCCAGGCUCAAAUUGAGCAAGAAUAGCAAGGCUCCACCGACGAACGCCAGCGACUAUAGAAGCAUCGUCGGCAGUCUCAGGUAUCUGGUUCACACUCGACCAGACAUGUCGUUUGCCGUUGGGUAUGUGAGCAGGUUCAUGGAAGCACCUACGACGGAGCACCUCACUGCGGUCAAGCAUAUCCUACGCUACAUCGCCGGCACAAUCGACUACGGCUGCAGCUACCGGAGGAGCGGUAGCCCAGUUCUGUCCGGGUACAGUGACAGUGACCUGGGAGGCGAUCCAGACACACGCAAGAGCACCACUGGUCUCCUCUGGUAUCUCGGUGACAGUCUGUUUUCAUGGCAAUCCCUGAAGCACAAAGUGGUGGCGCUUUCAUCUUGUGAGGCCGAGUACAUGGCCGCCACGGCGACGACGUGCUAUGGUGUGUGGCUCACUCGUCUCCUGAAGGAUCUGACGGGGAGAGAAGCUGGUGUGCCCAUUCUGAAGAUGGACAACAAAUCUGCAAUCGCCCUCGCCAAGAACCCUGUCCAUCAUGAUCGCGGUAAGCACAUAGACUUGCGAUUUCAUUUCAUCAGGGACUGUGUGGAGGAGAAGAAGAUCGCGGUGGACUACAUCGGCACUGGCCUUCAGCUCGCAGACAUCUUGACAAAGCCGUCGGGCAAGAUCAAGUUUCAGGAGCCGAGGAGCAAGAUUGGAGUCGUCAAAAUAAGGUAG
This 2295-nucleotide ribosomal RNA is filed under the name Triticum aestivum (bread wheat). RNAcentral's name for it is "partial small subunit ribosomal RNA". Lineage: Eukaryota; Viridiplantae; Streptophyta; Magnoliopsida; Poales; Poaceae. The record is from RNAcentral.